UACAGAGGGUGCGAGCGUUAAUCGGAAUUACUGGGCGUAAAGCGUGCGUAGUCGGUUAUUUAAGUCAGGUGUGAAAUCCCCGGGCUCAACCUGGGAAUGGCAUUUGGGACUGCAAGGCUUGAGUGCGGCAGAGGAGACUGGAAUUCCCGGUGUAGCAGUGAAAUGCGUAGAUAUCGGGAGGAAUACCGAUGGCGAAGGCAGGUCUCUGGGCUGACACUGACGCUCAUGCACGAAAGCGUGGGGAGCAAACAGG
RNAcentral lists this ribosomal RNA (253 nucleotides) under uncultured bacterium. Its description in RNAcentral is "partial 16S ribosomal RNA". It matches the Rfam family "Bacterial small subunit ribosomal RNA", at positions 524 to 776 of the family's 1533-position model. The record is from RNAcentral.